AGUAUAAGGAGGCAACUGUCCCCCCCCCCCUGCCUACGCCCUUGGGUUACUCUCAGUGAACGGUUCUGAUACCGACUACUACAUUUGAACGCUGAACUGACAGGCUGAAAGCGAGACAAAGUCAGACUGGUCAGCAGAUGGCCAAAAUGUGGCAAGGAGUGGAGGAGUACAGUAAGAGGCAAGCAACCGCAGGUCAUCAACAAAAACACGAAUAAAGGCGUCGAAUUCGAACCGAUACGAAAAGUGGGCUGUGUACUAAAAAAAAUAAGAAAAAAAAGUGAAGAAAAAGGAACUGAUUGCUCCACAUCGACAGAGUUGCCGUCGCCGCUCGUUUCCCUCAGCAGCCAGGCGCCCUCGACAUACCCUUCCUUACCCCUGGCCGAUAGAUGGCGCUUGCUUGUUGCUUUUGUUGUAGCCGAUUCACAUUUUUCCAGCGUCACGUGCGCACUUAAACAUCAGCAUCAUGAUGGUAUUCAGAGCAUUGAAGCGCAACGAGGCCCAAGCUCAGCCGGAGCUCGACUCGUUGCCAGGAGCGAGAACGGGAAUGGAAAUGGGAACAUGAACGGGAACGGGAACGGUAAUGGUAAUGGGAACGAGAACGAGAACGGGAGGUGAGCUGGUAGCACAGAAAAGAGUACCCUCAACUUUGCUCAGACAUACGAGUACUCUUAUACAUGUAUAUACAUAUGUAUUAUAUAUCACAGUCAGUUUAGAAUCAAUAAAAUAUAACUUUGCGUGCUGA
Molecule: long non-coding RNA, 742 nt
Organism: Drosophila innubila
Lineage: Eukaryota; Metazoa; Arthropoda; Insecta; Diptera; Drosophilidae
Exons: 2
Source: RefSeq, a predicted model, not a curated record